This is a non-coding RNA of Agelaius phoeniceus (red-winged blackbird), 299 nucleotides long. Lineage: Eukaryota; Metazoa; Chordata; Aves; Passeriformes; Icteridae. The record is from RefSeq and is a predicted model, not a curated record.
CCAAAGGAAGUGUAAUUACAUGGAUUUGUUCAGUUCCAAGGUGCAUGUUCAUGAGGAUUAUGCACAUUCAAACAUCCCUUUGGGUCUGCACAAUCUGGGAAUUCUUUUGCUUGGUCUGACUCCUGGCCCAUCUUCUUAAAGUGCUGCAGGUGAAAUUUGUCUGUUUUAUGUUCCCACAAGGCUCCUGUUCCGUGGUUUGGCAGUUCUUGAUAACCAAAGUUUUUUAUUAGUUCAGAGCCAUAUUCUUGAUGGGGAAUCCCAGGUAAGAAAUAGAUACAUUUAAAAAUAGAUAAAUGAAU